CCUACGGGUGGCUGCAGUGGGGAAUAUUGGACAAUGGGCGCAAGCCUGAUCCAGCCAUGCCGCGUGAGUGACGAAGGCCUUAGGGUUGUAAAGCUCUUUUGGCGGGGAAGAUAAUGACGGUACCCGCAGAAUAAGCUCCGGCUAACUUCGUGCCAGCAGCCGCGGUAAUACGAAGGGAGCUAGCGUUGUUCGGAAUCACUGGGCGUAAAGCGCACGUAGGCGGAUGUGUCAGUCAGGGGUGAAAUCCCGGAGCUCAACUUCGGAACUGCCCUUGA
RNAcentral lists this ribosomal RNA (275 nucleotides) under uncultured Pedomicrobium sp. Its description in RNAcentral is "partial 16S ribosomal RNA". It matches the Rfam family "Bacterial small subunit ribosomal RNA", at positions 338 to 630 of the family's 1533-position model. Lineage: Bacteria; Pseudomonadati; Pseudomonadota; Alphaproteobacteria; Hyphomicrobiales; Hyphomicrobiaceae. The record is from RNAcentral.